This 460-nucleotide long non-coding RNA is filed under the name Citrus maxima (pomelo). RNAcentral's name for it is "long non-coding RNA (CMAX_LNC001540)". The record is from RNAcentral. Lineage: Eukaryota; Viridiplantae; Streptophyta; Magnoliopsida; Sapindales; Rutaceae.
UUAUUGAUGAUGGCGAACACUUUCCCAACCAACCUACAGUAUUUAAAUAACCAUCACCCAAAUUAUAUUGAACAAUCAUGUAUAAAAAAUCAUCAAUAAUAGGACCCAAAGUCCCAAAUUACAGACAAUAAUCUUACCUUGUGCUGCUGAUGAUGGCGAACGAAGAUAAAGGCAGUGACGAGCGACAGAAGAGAAAAUCGUUUCAAGAACUGAGGUGACAGAGACGAUAGUUGCAACUUCGGAAUGUGGUGGCGUCGUUGUUUUUUAACUUAGGGCUAGCGAUUAGGGUGUGUGUGUGUGUUGCGGUACGGAGAAGGAGAUUAGGGCUUAUGUUUUAUUUUAUUUUUUAAAAUUUUGCCUUUUAUAACUCUUUUGUUUCUAUUUUUUAUUUUUACAGUAAACCCGUUCGGGUUUUUAAUUCAGUUCGGGUUGAAUCUGAACUGAAAUAAAAAAUGAUCCG